CCUACGGGAGGCAGCAGUGGGGAAUAUUGCGCAAUGGGCGAAAGCCUGACGCAGCGACGCCGCGUGAGGGAUGAAGGUCUUCGGAUCGUAAACCUCUGUCAGCAGGGAAGAACGGUCACUGUGCUAAUCAGCAGUGAAUUGACGGUACCUGCAAAGGAAGCACCGGCUAACUCCGUGCCAGCAGCCGCGGUAGUACGGAGGGUGCGAGCGUUAAUCGGAUUUACUGGGCGGAAAGCGCGCGUAGGCGGUAUGUCAAGUAAAGGGUGAAGUCCCCGCGCGCAACGUGGGAACUGCCUUUGAAACUGGCAAACUGGAGUGUGUGAGAGGAUAGUGGAAUUCCAGGUGUAGGAGUGAAAUCCGUAGAUAUCUGGAGGAACAUCAGUGGCGAAGGCGACUAUCUGGCACAUAACUGACGCUGAGGAGCGAAAGCGUGGGUAGCAAACAGGAUUAGAUACCCCUGUAGUC
RNAcentral lists this ribosomal RNA (465 nucleotides) under uncultured bacterium. Its description in RNAcentral is "partial 16S ribosomal RNA". It matches the Rfam family "Bacterial small subunit ribosomal RNA", at positions 338 to 795 of the family's 1533-position model. The record is from RNAcentral.